AUACGGGGGGUGCAAGCGUUGUUCGGAAUUAUUGGGCGUAAAGAGCGUGUAGGCGGCUAGGCAAGUCAGAUGUGAAAGCCCUGGGCUUAACCCAGGAAGUGCAUUUGAAACUGCUUAGCUUGAGUAGGGGAGAGGGAAGUGGAAUUCCUGGUGUAGAGGUGAAAUUCGUAGAUAUCAGGAGGAACACCGGUGGCGAAGGCGACUUCCUGGCCCUAUACUGACGCUGAGACGCGAGAGCGUGGGUAGCAAACAGGAUUAGAUACCCUGGUAGUCCACGCCGUAAACGAUGUUCACUAGGUGUUGGGGGUAUUGACCCUCUCAGUGCCGGAGCUAACGCAUUAAGUGAACCGCCUGGGGAGUACGGUCGCAAGACUAAA
This 377-nucleotide ribosomal RNA is filed under the name uncultured bacterium. RNAcentral's name for it is "bacterial SSU rRNA". It matches the Rfam family "Bacterial small subunit ribosomal RNA", at positions 523 to 898 of the family's 1533-position model. The record is from RNAcentral.